UUUUUUUUUUUUUUUUUUUGGCCUUGCUUGCAGCAUGUGGAGGUUCCCAGGCCAGGGACUGAAACAGAGCCACAGCAGUGACCUGAGCCACAGCAGUGACAAUGCCCAAUCGUUAACCCACUGAGUCAUGGGGACUCCGAAAACAAAAUCUUAGCAGACCAAAACACAACUGGAGACACAAAGAACAGCAGACACGCAUUUACACCAGGACUGAACGGACGGCUCCACGGCAUCAGAAAGCCCCCGAGCUGCAUGAGGGUGCUGGACGGGGCAGAGGGGGAAAGUCACAGGACGCUCUGAGAGGCUCUCCCCCCGGCCCCUCGGCCCUCCCACCUUUCCAGCAGAAUCCUGGUGGUGCACAGCGACCGCCUCCCCCGCCCAGCAGCCCAGGAGAGGCUCAACCCUCGCUCCAAAGUUAGGCCUGCUUAGCGGGCACGGAGCUAAGCCACGUCCUCCCCACUGGCCGGCUCAGCAAUGAGCAAGCAGAUGAGCAGGGAAGCGGCUUCUAAGAAAGCCCCCCCGCCACCCACGCCCUUGGGAACUCUGCUGGGAGGGCUCUGCCCGGGUCAGCUGGCAGGCUGGGACUGCAGCAGCUGCCUAGCAGCCAACCAACCUGAGGACGAAGCCAGCAGAGAGGCAGGCAGAACCAGGAGAUGGGCGGGAACCGAACCCCGGGGCUCCGAGUUCAGCAGGACGGCCAGAUACAAGGUUCGAAAACCAACAGCUUUUCUCUACUGACAAAAAAAUACGUCGAAAAUGCUGCAGGCGUAGGCUUGAUAAGAGGGCCGCGCGUGUGAGGUUUCACCUAAAGACAGAAAGAGGCAGAGGCAAGCACCGAGCCCGCGGUCUGACGGCCUCACUGCCUCGGCGCACUCGCCUCCGCGCCAGGGACACAGCCCUGGCGAAGCCACAGCGGGACCAAGGGCGCAGAAGCAGAGCAAAGGGCCCAUGAAACCCUCAGUGGGAAGCUGAGCCUCGUCGGGAAGGCCUCCUCGAGCACAGGAUGAGCCAGGGAAGCCCGGCGGCGGAGCGGAGGCCCCAGGCGAGGCGGGGCUGGAGGCAGAACACUCUGGGCAGCCGAGGCCAAGCCUUAGCCGCAGUGUGGAAGCAGAUCAGAGGGACCAGCGGUCCUCAGGAGCCCACUCAAUGGCCUGCUUUCGAAGCCCGGUGCACGAGUGACAGUGGCCAGGACUGCGACCACCGUGAAAGAAGAGAAAUGGCCAAAGAGAGCUGUAGGAGGUAAAAGCAAGAAGACACAAAAAUUACUGGAUGUAAGCCUCGAAAUAAUAAUGCUGUCAACUGUCACGUAAUCUUUGGGAGUUCCCUGGUGGCUCGGCAGGUUAAGGAUCCAGAGUCGUCACUGUUGUGGCGCAGGUUCAACCCCUGGCCCAGGAAUUUCCAAGUGCUAUAGGGGCAGCCAAAAAAAAAAAAAAAAAGAAAACAGACCUUUAAAAAAAACCCUUAAAUCCAAUGCAAAGCCCACCGAAGUUCUAAUAGGACAGAACACUGAGUUUUCAGUGUUCCGAAACUCAGAAGUUUGACCCCUAGUUCAUCGGGAAGAGCAAAUACACAAGAGCAGCCAGUAAAGCCUCCAGCAGGAAUAAUGCGAAAGACGUGAGAGUACGUGCACUAGCGCUACAGCAACGCAGACAUGUGGCUUCCAAGAGCGAAACGAAGAGAUGCGUGUAAGAGAGUAAGGCCCAGUCAAACCUGAAUCUGUUGUGAUGAAAAGAACACUUCAAACUCAGGGAACCACCCCGUGAGGUCCCCAGCACCCACUAUCUAUUUUCAGAGAAGCCAGUGAGACAUGAACCUUACCAGGCAAAGCAGUUCCAGGUGACUAAAGGCCCGAAGAGCGAGGGCAGUGGAGUGCAUACAAAGGAAGAGCAGAAAAUACAACUGGAGCUCUCGUCGAGGCUCAGCGGUGAACCAAUCCGACUGGGAACCAUGAGAUUCGUUAACCACGGAGCCACGACGGGAACUCCGUGUCUUUCAUUUCUUCUCUACACCACUGAGCAGCCUGACCUCUGCUCUUCCUGCCUCUCGCCCCGAAUCCAGCCUCACCUCUGCACGCCCUCCAGGCGGCCGCCAGGAUGCACCUCCUGAAAUCUGUGAGCGGGCUGGCGGGCUGGCUGUUCCACCGCCCCAGGACCCACUUCCCUAGAAAGGACUGUAUGUUCCUGUUCCGUGAGGUUGACCCUGGCUGUGUGCUGUGCUCUGGCCAGUGCAACGUCGUGGGUGUGACACACAGUGUCCUGGAAAAGCCGUGGGAGGCCCCAGGAGUUUCCACCAGCCCUCGGCUUCCGCGGUCCAUGGCGAGAACAGUCCUAGACAGAGACCGCGCUUCCGAACCAGGGCCUGGGUCGGGGCUUCCCCUGUGGCUCACACCAAACAGGGCCCGGGGAUUUCUCUUCUCCGAGACUGUCCCCCGCGCUGGGGAGGCAGGGAGCGGACCUGAGCGUGGCGGUGAUGAGCAGCAGACGGACCCCGGCCCCAGCAUCCCUACAGAGCCCUGCCUCAGGGCCGCCACGACCACACCCGCGACGCCCUCCCUCAGCUCCAAACGCUUGGUCCACAAACACUGCCUCCCCUGAAAAGGCGUCCACCUGCCGCGGUGCACUGCCCCCUCCCUCCCGCAGGUGUCAGACCCGCCUCUCCAGCCCCUGGCAGUCCCUGGGAAUAAGGUCCGUCUCCCUUUCCUUUGCUCCUUUGUGCGCUUGGUGCCCAGCACAGUUGUCCCUGGAUCUGUUCAUUUGCUGCGGGUUUUUUUAAGACCGCGUUAUUUAGAAACACUGACACUUUCAGUCUUCGUAACAUCAUUUCUGUCUGAACACCUAACA
RNAcentral lists this long non-coding RNA (2840 nucleotides) under Sus scrofa (pig). RNAcentral's name for it is "lncRNA (ENSSSCG00040002328.1)". Lineage: Eukaryota; Metazoa; Chordata; Mammalia; Artiodactyla; Suidae. The record is from RNAcentral.